UACUCGGAUAACCGUAGUAACACUAGAGCUAAUACGUGCGUAAAUCCCGACUUUUUGAAGGGACGUAUUUAUUAGAUUUAUGGCCAGCCGGGCUUGCCCGACCAGCGGUGAAUCAUGGUAACUUGACGGAUUGCAUGGCCUUCGUGCCGGCGACGUGUCAUUCAAGUUUCUGCCCCAUCAGGUUUCGACUGUAGUGUAUUGGACUACAGUGCCUAUAACGGGUAGCGGAGGAUUAGGGUUCGAUUCCGGAGAGGGAGCCUGAGAAACGGCUACCACAUCCAAGGAAGGCAGCAGGCGCGCAAAUUACCCAAUCCCAAUUCAGGGAGGUAGUGACAAGAAAUAGCAAUGCGGGGCGGAUUCGCUCUGCAAUUGGAAUGAGAACAAUGUAAACCACUUAACGAGUAUCAAUUGGAGGGCAAGUCUGGUGCCAGCAGCCGCGGUAAUUCCAGCUCCAAUAGCGUAUAUGUAAGUUGUUGCGAUUAAAAAGCCCGUAGCUGAACCUCGGGUAACCCUGCCGGUCCGCAUCAUGUGAGUACUGUCGUGGGUUGCCUUUCUGGUAAGACCGUAUCACGGGGUUAAUUCACCGGGAACGAGGCUUGCCAAGGUUACUUUGAGUAAAAUAGAGUGUUCAAAGCAAGCAUGCGCUAUGAAUACACUAGCAUGGGAUAACACGACAUGACCGAUGGUCUAUCUUGUUGGCCUGUAGAUCUGUUGGUAAUGGCUAAUAGGGACGGUCGGGGGCAUUCGUAUUUCGCUGUCAGAGGUGAAAUUCUUGGAUUUGCGAAAGACGAACUACUGCGAAAGCAUUUGCCAAGGACGCUUUCAUUAGUCAAGGACGAAAGUCGGGGGAUCGAAGACGAUUAGAUACCGUCGUAGUCUCGACCAUAAACGAUGCCAAUUAGGGAUUGGAGGG
RNAcentral lists this ribosomal RNA (913 nucleotides) under Chaetomorpha linum. RNAcentral describes it as "SSU rRNA". It matches the Rfam family "Eukaryotic small subunit ribosomal RNA", at positions 136 to 1060 of the family's 1831-position model. Lineage: Eukaryota; Viridiplantae; Chlorophyta; Ulvophyceae; Cladophorales; Cladophoraceae. The record is from RNAcentral.